GGAGGAAAAGAAACCAACAGGGAUUGCCUUAGUAGCGGCGAGUGAAGCGGCAAAAGCUCAAAUUUGAAAUCUGGCUCUUUCAGAGUCCGAGUUGUAAUUUGAAGAAGGUAUCUUUGGGUCUGGCUCUUGUCUAUGUUUCUUGGAACAGAACGUCACAGAGGGUGAGAAUCCCGUGCGAUGAGAUGAUCCAGGCCUAUGUAAAGUUCCUUCGAAGAGUCGAGUUGUUUGGGAAUGCAGCUCUAAGUGGGUGGUAAAUUCCAUCUAAAGCUAAAUAUUGGCGAGAGACCGAUAGCGAACAAGUACAGUGAUGGAAAGAUGAAAAGAACUUUGAAAAGAGAGUGAAAAAGUACGUGAAAUUGUUGAAAGGGAAGGGCUUGAGAUCAGACUUGGUAUUUUGUAUGUUACUUCUUCGGGGGUGGCCUCUACAGUUUAUCGGGCCAGCAUCAGUUUGGGCGGUAGGAGAAUUGCGUUGGAAUGUGGCACGGCUUCGGUUGUGUGUUAUAGCCUUCGUCGAUACUGCCAGCCUAGACUGAGGACUGCGG
RNAcentral lists this ribosomal RNA (542 nucleotides) under Candida tropicalis. Its description in RNAcentral is "eukaryotic LSU rRNA". It matches the Rfam family "Eukaryotic large subunit ribosomal RNA", at positions 52 to 600 of the family's 3401-position model. Lineage: Eukaryota; Fungi; Ascomycota; Pichiomycetes; Serinales; Debaryomycetaceae. The record is from RNAcentral.